GACGAACGCUGGCGGCGUGCCUAAUACAUGCAAGUUGAGCGCUGAAGGUUGGUACUUGUACCAACUGGAUGAGCAGCGAACGGGUGAGUAACGCGUGGGGAAUCUGCCUUUGAGCGGGGGACAACAUUUGGAAACGAAUGCUAAUACCGCAUAAAAACUUUAAACACAAGUUUUAAGUUUGAAAGAUGCUAUUGCAUCACUCAAAGAUGAUCCCGCGUUGUAUUAGCUAGUUGGUGAGGUAAAGGCUCACCAAGGCGAUGAUACAUAGCCGACCUGAGAGGGUGAUCGGCCACAUUGGGACUGAGACACGGCCCAAACUCCUACGGGAGGCAGCAGUAGGGAAUCUUCGGCAAUGGACGAAAGUCUGACCGAGCAACGCCGCGUGAGUGAAGAAGGUUUUCGGAUCGUAAAACUCUGUUGGUAGAGAAGAACGUUGGUGAGAGUGGAAAGCUCAUCAAGUGACGGUAACUACCCAGAAAGGGACGGCUAACUACGUG
RNAcentral lists this ribosomal RNA (497 nucleotides) under uncultured bacterium. Its description in RNAcentral is "partial 16S ribosomal RNA". It matches the Rfam family "Bacterial small subunit ribosomal RNA", at positions 28 to 507 of the family's 1533-position model. The record is from RNAcentral.